Molecule: ribosomal RNA, 431 nt
Filed under: uncultured bacterium
Lineage: Bacteria
Description: bacterial SSU rRNA
Rfam family: Bacterial small subunit ribosomal RNA
Source: RNAcentral
ACGAACGCUGGCGGCAGGCUUAACACAUGCAAGUCGAGCGGGCCCGCGAGGGUCAGCGGCGGACGGGUUAGUAACGCGUGGGAACGUGCCUUUUGCUCUGGAAUAGCCCUGGGAAACUGGGGGUAAUACCGGAUGUGCCCUGAGGGGGAAAGAUUUAUCGGCAAGAGAUCGGCCCGCGUCUGAUUAGGUAGUUGGUGUGGUAAUGGCGCACCAAGCCGACGAUCGGUAGCUGGUUUGAGAGGAUGAUCAGCAACACUGGGACUGAGACACGGCCCAGACUCCUACGGGAGGCAGCAGUGGGGAAUCUUAGACAAUGGGCGCAAGCCUGAUCUAGCCAUGCCGCGUGGGUGAUGAAGGCCUUAGGGUCGUAAAGCCCUUUCGCCGGGGAAGAUAAUGACGGUACCCGGUAAAGAAACCCCGGCUAACUCCGU